UAGGGAAUCUUCCACAAUGGACGAAAGUCUGAUGGAGCAACGCCGCGUGAGUGAUGAAGGGUUUCGGCUCGUAAAACUCUGUUGUUGGAGAAGAACAGGUGAUAGAGUAACUGUUAUCAUCUUGACGGUAUCCAACCAGAAAGCCACGGCUAACUACGUGCCAGCAGCCGCGGUAAUACGUAGGUGGCAAGCGUUGCCCGGAUUUAUUGGGCGUAAAGCGAGCGCAGGCGGUUUUUUAGGUCUGAUGUGAAAGCCUUCGGCUUAACCGGAGAAGGGCAUCGGAAACCGGGAGACUUGAGUGCAGAAGAGGACAGUGGAACUCCAUGUGUAGCGGUGAAAUGCGUAGAUAUAUGGAAGAACACCAGUGGCGAAGGCGGCUGUCUGGUCUGUAACUGACGCUGAGGCUCGAAAGCAUGGGUAGCGAACAGGAUUAGAUACCCUGGUAGUCCAUGCCGUAAACGAUGAGUGCUAAGUGUUGGAGGGUUUCCGCCCUUCAGUGCUGCAGCUAACGCAUUAAGCACUCCGCCUGGGGGAGUACGACCGCAAGGUUGAAAC
RNAcentral lists this ribosomal RNA (555 nucleotides) under uncultured bacterium. Its description in RNAcentral is "partial 16S ribosomal RNA". It matches the Rfam family "Bacterial small subunit ribosomal RNA", at positions 355 to 900 of the family's 1533-position model. The record is from RNAcentral.